RNAcentral lists this ribosomal RNA (482 nucleotides) under uncultured bacterium. RNAcentral describes it as "bacterial SSU rRNA". It matches the Rfam family "Bacterial small subunit ribosomal RNA", at positions 28 to 526 of the family's 1533-position model. The record is from RNAcentral.
GACGAACGCUGGCGGCGUGCUUAACACAUGCAAGUCGAACGGUGAAGCCCUUCGGGGUGGAUCAGUGGCGAACGGGUGAGUAACACGUGGGCAAUCUGCCCUGCACUCUGGGACAACACCGGGAAACCGGUGCUAAUACCGGAUACGACGUGCCUCCGCAUGGGGUGUGCGUGGAAAGCUCCGGCGGUGCAGGAUGAGCCCGCGGCCUAUCAGCUUGUUGGUGGGGUGACGGCCUACCAAGGCGACGACGGGUAGCCGGCCUGAGAGGGCGACCGGCCACACUGGGACUGAGACACGGCCCAGACUCCUACGGGAGGCAGCAGUGGGGAAUAUUGCACAAUGGGCGGAAGCCUGAUGCAGCGACGCCGCGUGAGGGAUGACGGCCUUCGGGUUGUAAACCUCUUUCAGCAGGGAAGAAGCGUGAGUGACGGUACCUGCAGAAGAAGCACCGGCUAACUACGUGCCAGCAGCCGCCGUAACAC